CUAUUACAUGAAAAUGGAAAAAGGAAAAGAGAAGGUGUGUGCACAAGGGCAGCGUCCCCUUCACUAGACACUAGUACAACAGCCUACUCAUAGACACCAGUGCAACAGCUUCACUCUUUCCCCUACAGCCCCCAAAUCAACUCAAAGCCAAAGCCAUGGUGCAGAGAGAGAUCAAAUCAGCCACUCUACCUCUGUACCAUCUCCGUAGAAUGCUCAAGUGUUCAGCCAACAACCAUUCCCUCUUAGUCUCAAACCUCCAGCCAGCAAUCUCACUUCAUUCUCCCCCAUUCCACUAAGGACUUUUGAGAGAGAAAUGGGAGAAUUCAUUGCUGCUGCAAGACUUCAAAGGAGUUUGUCUCCACGGGAAUCAAUAGCAACACAACAGCCACCCAACACAAAACAACCAAGGUAUUUACUAUCCCAUAUGCCCUCUUUCAUGUUAUACAUUUCACGCCCCAACACAAUCGAUGAACAGUUCUUUUUUUUUGAGAUACAGACAAUACGCAUAUGAAUAUAGCUGAACCAUGAGUUUCUGUAAUUGAGAAUAACCGAAAGCAUGUUACAGAAAUAUAAUAACUCAAUCAGUUUUUAUUCACAAGACAAAAGGCAUAAAUGGCAUCAACAGACUAGAAUUUUAUGCGAGAUAAGUGCGUUUUAACAGAUUAGCUUUUGAACCAAGUACUCAAGAUAGCAUUAACAUUUAUGAGAUUCAUAGAGUACUAGAUACCACAAGAAUUCCUUUUACACCGCAAUUGGGGAUCGAACUUAGCAUUUGGGGGAAAGUGGGGAGGGCAUUGUGUUGUACCUGUUCCAUUAAACAAGGAGAAGGGCGGAUGCCUUGAUUCCAUCGGACCAGAGAAGCAGCGACUCGACGGCGUCGAACCAGAGAGAAGAAUGUGGUCGGAAACGGCCGUCUGCUCCGUUGGGUUCCGGAAAAAAGGGUCGCCGGAUUUUGGGACAGGGGCGGCGGGCCGCUAGUCCUUGUGAGCGGAGGAUUCAGCGAGGAUGAGAGAUUGAGAGAGGAAGGGCAAUGGGGCUGGAGUCAGAGGCGGGGGAAAGAGUCGACCUCGCCAGAAUUUGCAGAACAGCGGCUGUAAUUUCUGAGGUCGAAGCUAGGGCUCGACUUCUGCCUCGAAAUGUGAGUGGAAUCGGUGGCGAGGCGCGGCCUCAUCGGAAAUUCAAAGGUUCUGGCGUGAGGCAACAAUUCAAGCCGGCGACGUGAAGGUGUCCUCGACGGAAGCGCGGAUUUAUGAGGCGGCGCUGAUUGAAUUGAGAGAGAGAAGGCUGUUUCAGCUGUGACACUGGGAGAGAGAGGCGGACUUGAACAUGAAGCGAGAGAGCGAGAGAGCGAGAGAGAGAGUGACCGAAAAUGAAGAAAAGAAAUGAGGAUGGGCUAGCUGCUAUUGGGCCGAAUUCAUGGGCUGAUUUAUUUGAGGCUUAAUUAUUCAGCUGGGCUAUUUUACUAACCGGGCCGAUUCUUGUUAAGCAUACUGGGUGUCCCUAUUAAAUAGUUUCUAGGCCCAGUUCUUUAUUUUUAAUUGAGCUUUCUUAUGUUGCUCAUAUUUAAUAAUAAGAUUUUUCCUAUUAUUUAUUUAGCCCGAUAAAGAGUAGUUUAGAUUAAUCUAUUAAUUGGAUUUAGUUAAUUCUGAUUAUGGAUUCUUUUGAACAAGAUUAUUAAUUAGUAAGCGGGUUAGUAUACCUUAAGAUGAGUGGAUUAAUUAAGAUUAAUAAUCCGAUAUCAUAAGACGAGCUUUAAUCCAAUAAUUGGAUUAAUAAUUAAAGGAAUAUGAGUCAUGCAUAUUUAUUAUACGCAUUCUCAUUUAUUUGAGAAUUUUCAUCGAGCUAAGGUUUGACCUUAUGUUCUCGCAUUAAAGGUUAAGCGCAAGAGUAAGAGCUAGUCAAGAGUUACUGAACUGAAGCAAAGCUUUGCUAUCAGGUGGCAUUACUUUCAUAUAUACAAAUGAGUUUAAAUGUUACGUUCAAGCAAGUUAUUUCAUGAUAAAAUCUUUAGUUAAAGUUAUUUCAAGUAUUGUCUUGCCAUAAAUGUUUCAAUUUUAGUAUGAUAUCUAUCUGCUUUGGCUUUGCCAAUGAUGCAAUCGAAUUCGGGUCCUGAGCAGUUGAUAGCUAUCCUGCCAGGACUAGUGUACACCAGUGACCGUGAGUCAUCUAGCGGGUUGGCCGGUCAAGUGACCGUGAGAGGUGGCCACCUCUCCGGCACACAGUUCCAGAUAUGAUAGAUUACAAGAGAACUUAGACUGCAGUCGAACUUUAAGAAUCACAAAUGAAUUUAGUAAGCUUGGGCCUAUUUAGCUAAAACUCCCUUGCUGUACUGUUUAUGAUGGCAUGACAAUUUACAGUUUUAUGAAGCAUGUUUAUAUUUAUACUUAGGCAUACGUGCCCACUGAGUACUCUCGUACUCAGCCCUGCAUAUAUUUCUAAAUGUGCAGGUUGAGAAGUGGCUGAUGGAGAUGAAGUGACGAGUGGUGCUUUUGUCAUUAGUUGAA
Molecule: long non-coding RNA, 2504 nt
Filed under: Salvia miltiorrhiza (redroot sage)
Lineage: Eukaryota; Viridiplantae; Streptophyta; Magnoliopsida; Lamiales; Lamiaceae
Description: long non-coding RNA (SMIL_LNC006896)
Source: RNAcentral